UUUCCUGAACGCUGAUUGCGUGUUAGUCGUGUGCACGUUUAUGGCGGCAGUUGCUUUAUGUGCCAUGUGGGGCUCCCGUUAUUUACUUUUGUUGAAGAAAAUUUGCAGAACAUCUUGACAGAAGUUACUGUGAUGGCAGUCUAAUUACUUCGAGUGUACGAUGCCGCUCUACAAGGUUCGACCUAAACCGCGGACAAGCCCCGGCGGGAGUGCCGCGCUUUGGCUCCCUGCUCCCCAUAAUGCCUGGCGUGUCUUCAGGGAGCAGCAAUCCUGCUGAAAGAUGAGUCGUCCUCCCAGCUCUCUGCAUGGCCGCUGCGACCACAGGCUGGACCACGUGUACCUCUUUGCUGUGAAUGAUGCCGUACCAUCUGUCGUUCUUCUGCCUGAAUUCUGCUCCUGGAGGAUGUUGAUUUGUUGAGCUGCUAGAUGGCAGACCUGUCUGGAUGGAGAUGAGAUCUGGACUUGCCUGAGAAGGACAUGAUGGGUUUUAUUGGAUUCUCCCCAUGUCUGUGGGUGGUGCGCUACAAGACCUUCGACCUACUGCAGAUUGCCGAAACAUGGAUAAACCCAAACCAUCAACCCCACAUAGUGUUUUUUUAUUAUGGUAAUUGAUUAUGUGCAGUAAGACAUUACUAGCAUACAAAUAUGCUAAUUAUACAAACUGUACUCUUGAAUGAAAGGAGUUGACAUUUUAGUCUAAUUUUCAAGGGAUGAUGGAAAAGAUGUAUCAGGGGAUGACAGGGCAAUUAAAACUGUGGUUUUAUAAAUUGACUAAGAAGGGAUUACACUCCUCUAGGUGUGACUGGUUUAAAUGCUACUGCAAACUUGCAUUGUGUCUCUGUAGCUAAAUACAUACUUGCCUUAAGAUUAAAAGACACCAAUAAGCAAAGCUGUUUCAAUGUGGGUUUUUUAUUUUUUUUUUGGGUGGAGGGGUGUCAAAGCUGAUCUUGGACCAUGCUGUGUUACCUGGUCCCUGCCAGAGGCCUACCUGUGUUUGGGUCGCUUCCAUCUGACAUUACCAUGUACUAUUGGUACCUAGGGGACCUUUGCUGCCUAUAGCAGCAAAAAUGUAGUGUAUGGGCAAAUGUGCAUCUGGUGUUCAAGUGCAACUUAAGUAGUGUGUCCAGGGUACUGAGAUUUGUAUGCUCUAGACCAAUAUAACAUGCACAGAGAAAAUAUUAUUAAAGGUCAAUUUCACUGCAACAA
Long non-coding RNA from Paramormyrops kingsleyae, 1206 nucleotides. RefSeq lists it as uncharacterized. Lineage: Eukaryota; Metazoa; Chordata; Actinopteri; Osteoglossiformes; Mormyridae. The record is from RefSeq and is a predicted model, not a curated record.